RNAcentral lists this ribosomal RNA (915 nucleotides) under uncultured Bacteroidota bacterium. RNAcentral's name for it is "bacterial SSU rRNA". It matches the Rfam family "Bacterial small subunit ribosomal RNA", at positions 1 to 909 of the family's 1533-position model. Lineage: Bacteria; Pseudomonadati; Bacteroidota. The record is from RNAcentral.
GGAUCCAGACUUUGAUUCUGGCUCAGGAUGAACGCUAGCUACAGGCUUAACACAUGCAAGUCGAGGGGCAGCGGGAUUGAAGCUUGCUUCAAUUGCCGGCGACCGGCGCACGGGUGAGUAACGCGUAUCCAACCUUCCGUGCACUCAGGGAUAGCCUUUCGAAAGAAAGAUUAAUACCUGAUGGUAUGAUGAGAUUGCAUGAUAGCAUCAUUAAAGAUUUAUCGGUGUACGAUGGGGAUGCGUUCCAUUAGGUAGUAGGCGGGGUAACGGCCCACCUAGCCAACGAUGGAUAGGGGUUCUGAGAGGAAGGUCCCCCACAUUGGAACUGAGACACGGUCCAAACUCCUACGGGAGGCAGCAGUGAGGAAUAUUGGUCAAUGGACGAGAGUCUGAACCAGCCAAGUAGCGUGAAGGAUGAAGGUCCUACGGAUUGUAAACUUCUUUUAUAAGGGAAUAAACCCUCCCACGUGUGGGAGCUUGUAUGUACCUUAUGAAUAAGCAUCGGCUAACUCCGUGCCAGCAGCCGCGGUAAUACGGAGGAUGCGAGCGUUAUCCGGAUUUAUUGGGUUUAAAGGGAGCGCAGACGGGUCGUUAAGUCAGCUGUGAAAGUUUGGGGCUCAACCUUAAAAUUGCAGUUGAUACUGGCGUCCUUGAGUGCGGUUGAGGUGUGCGGAAUUCGUGGUGUAGCGGUGAAAUGCUUAGAUAUCACGAAGAACUCCGAUUGCGAAGGCAGCACACUAAUCCGUAACUGACGUUCAUGCUCGAAAGUGUGGGUAUCAAACAGGAUUAGAUACCCUGGUAGUCCACACGGUAAACGAUGGAUACUCGCUGUUGGCGAUAUACUAUCAGCGGCUUAGCGAAAGCGUUAAGUAUCCCACCUGGGGAGUACGCCGGCAACGGUGCAACUCAAAUGAA